GGUUAAGCGACCAAGCGUACACGGUGGAUGCCUAGGCAGUCAGAGGCGAUGAAGGACGUGCUAAUCUGCGAUAAGCGCCGGUAAGGUGGUAUGAACCGUUAUAACCGGCGAUUUCCGAAUGGGGAAACCCAGUGUGACUCGUCACACUAUCGUUAAGUGAAUACAUAGCUUAACGAAGCGAACCAGGGGAACUGAAACAUCUAAGUACCCUGAGGAAAAGAAAUCAACCGAGAUUCCCCCAGUAGCGGCGAGCGAACGGGGAGCAGCCCAGAGUCUGAAUCAGCAUGUGUGUCAGUGGAAGCGUCUGGAAAGUCGCAGGGUACAGGGUGAUACUCCCGUACACGAAGAUACACCUGCUGUGAACUCGAAGAGUAGGGCGGGACACGUGGUAUCCUGUCUGAAUAUGGGGGGACCAUCCUCCAAGGCUAAAUACUCCUGACUGACCGAUAGUGAACCAGUACCGUG
This 465-nucleotide ribosomal RNA is filed under the name uncultured Enterobacterales bacterium. RNAcentral's name for it is "bacterial LSU rRNA". It matches the Rfam family "Bacterial large subunit ribosomal RNA", at positions 1 to 505 of the family's 2925-position model. The record is from RNAcentral. Lineage: Bacteria; Pseudomonadati; Pseudomonadota; Gammaproteobacteria; Enterobacterales.